Molecule: RNA transcript, 8394 nt
Organism: Catharus ustulatus (Swainson's thrush)
Lineage: Eukaryota; Metazoa; Chordata; Aves; Passeriformes; Turdidae
Gene: RCC1L
Gene name: RCC1 like
Exons: 12
Source: RefSeq, a predicted model, not a curated record
CUGAGGGGAGCAUGGCGGGGUUGGCGCGGCGGCUGCUCCGCAGGGGCCUGGCCGUGGCCGCGGGGCCGCCGAACACCCGCCAGCUCCGGGAGGCCGAGGAGGCCGCCCCGGUGUUCCAGUACGCGGGGAAGGCGGCCAGGCGCAAGGACCGCGUGUUCGUGUGGGGCUUCAGCUACUCGGGCGCCCUGGGCGUGCCCAGCUUCGUGAAGCCGGACGCGGGCUGGAAGAAGCCGCGGCGGAUCCAACCCACGCCGUACCGCCUGGAGACAGAGGAGAAGAUAUCCUCUGCUGCCUGUGGGUAUGGAUUCACACUGCUGGCUUCUAAUACCAGAGACAUCACCAAAGUGUGGGGCAUGGGGCUCAACAAGGAUUCCCAGCUUGGAUUCCAGAGAAGCAGAAGAGAUCAAACUAAGGCCUAUGAAUAUGUCUUGGAACCAUCUCCAAUUCCAUUACCACUGGAGAAGCCACAGCAAACUCGAGUCUUGCAAGUGUCCUGUGGGAGAGCCCAUUCUCUGGUCCUGACAGAUAGGGAAGGAGUUUUCACAAUGGGAAACAAUUCUUUUGGACAGUGUGGCCGCAAGGUUGUUGAAGAUGAAAUUUACAGUGGAAGCCAUAUCAUUCAUCAGCUGAGGGAAUUUGACAGUGAAGUUGUCCAGGUUGUGUGUGGGCAGGACCACAGUCUGUUCAGAACCAAGAAAGGUUCAGUCUAUGCAUGUGGAUGGGGAGCUGAUGGACAAACAGGUCUUGGACACUAUAACAUCACCAGUGUUCCUACUAAGCUGCAUGGUGACAUUGCUGGAGUAAACAUUACCCAGAUCUCUUCCUAUGGGGACUGUUGUCUGGCUGUUUCAGAUGAAGGAGAUGUCUUUGGUUGGGGAAAUUCAGAAUAUUUGCAGUUGGCAUCUGUCACAGAAACCACACAGGUGAAUGUUCCCAGGCAUUUGCCAUUCAAGAUUGGGAAGGUGAAGGAGGCUGCCUGUGGAGGGACUGGCAAUGUUGUGCUGACAGAAGAAGGAAAUGUUUUUGUCUGGGGAUAUGGAAUUCUUGGGAAAGGACCAAACCUAAUAGAGACAGCAGUGCCAGAGGUGAUCCCACCCAGCCUUUUUGGCUGGUCAGACUCCAGUCCUGACAUCCGUGUUGCUCGUGUUCGCUGUGGGCUCAGCCACUUUGCAGCACUUACAAACAGAGGAGAACUGUUUGUGUGGGGGAAGAAUCUAAGAGGGUGCCUGGGAACAGGAAGAAUGGAAGACCAGUAUUUCCCAUGGAGGGUGACUGUUCCUGGGGAGGUGGUGGAUGUGGCCUGUGGAGUUGAUCACAUGGUGAGCAUGGUCAAGUCUUUUACCUAGGGAUGCUGCUGGGUGUCAGCACCAUGCCUGGGUGAUGCAAGGACUUGGUGAUGAGCUUCUUGGAAAGGAAAACUCACGAAACCAAGUGACUGUGAGCAGAGACAGCCAUGGCAGUGUCUGGUUGUGUUGUCAUCCCUGCAUCACUAAAUGCUCUGGCCUGGCUACAGGAAGGAAGAACAUUCCCCAGGGAGCAUGGAAAUGCAAGGAGUGCUCUGGCUCCUUCAUGAUGAGCUCACAGAGAAGCUGAGGCCCAGCCACAGGCUGGUGAGCCCCUCUGCAUGAAGAUGGAGAGCAUCUCCUUAAGGAAGACUGGCAUGGGCUGAGAUCUACAGCACAGGACAUUGAUACAUGGACAUUUCCUGUCACCAGCUCUGGAGUGUCAGUGUUGGGCACAGCCAAACUAUUUCUCAAGGGACAAGUUAGGUUUUUUUAAUAACUAUGAUGUGGAAGAGAGGUCAUGCUAGUUCUUGAAGCCCAGCACAGCUGUCCUGGGUGGGCACCCUCAGCUGCACUGUGCCCAGGCUGUUUCCUGUGCAGAAACUGGAUGCACAGCCCUUGCCUGGAGGCACUGAUGUGUCUGUGGGCUGUUGAAGGCUUUGUGUGUUAGUGCUACAGACUGAACACCAAAGGAACACAUUUAAAGAGUGAGAAGCUGUUUGCAGGGACCAUGUGACAGUGGUGCUGUGCACCCAUGCUGCUGACAGGCUCAGGACCCACAGUGACUGCCCUGAGGAGGCCCCAGGAGGAGGCUGAGUUUGCUCCCUGGCCCUGCUGGGGUGCAGGGCUCUGGGGGUGUCCUGCCAGGAUCUCUGGGGGAGCUGGCCAGGGCAUCUUGCACUCUGCAGUGAGCAGGUAAAACUACAUCUAAAAUACACUAAGAGCAUCCCACUGACCUCUUAUUUUAGGGGAAGAGGAUAGGGCAGGUUUGGUGGUUUCAUGUGCAGGGGUACAGUACACACCCAGUGACAGGAUCUGGAGCCUCAGGGAUGUCUGCUGCCUUUAUAAACUGUGUGUGUGUGAUACACCCAACAUGGCUGUAGGUGAAAGAAAUGAGAGUUACAUCUUGCAGACAAUGCCAAGCUCUGCUUUAUUUUCAUCAGUUUGAUCAGUACAAAAGCAGACAGCAUAAGUUUCACUUUUUAUUCUUUUUCGGUUUAAUUACUUUACAAAGUACAAAAUAUACUGUCAUUUAUUUUGGAACAUUAGGAUUUUUUCUUUUUUUCUGUUUUGUUUUUUUCAUACAGUACAUAAAUCUCAGCUUUUCAGCAUAAGACCAGCAAAGAAAAGCAGCGUGUGCACUUGCUGGGAAAGCAAAACAGCCACUUCUCGGCUCCACACAAUGUCCAGUGCAUGAUCCCAAGCUGCUGCCACCACUCCCUGUGCCUGGUUGAGUACCCUCCCUCCUUGUGCAGAGGUCAUGAAGGCAGCUGCUGCAUCCAGGCUCCCCUGUGCCUUGUACCCCCGAGCUGCCCACCCACUCGUGCAGGGCCUGGCCCCCCUGAGCCCAUGGCACUGCCCACAUGGAGCUGCAAGCAGCCUUUCCAUGGCUGCAGCCAGAGCAGGAGCUGUGCCAAAGGCCCUGUGUGGGCAGGAUUCCCCCAUCCUGUUUGCAUCAGAUCUGGUAAUUAAAGGGAAAUAAAUACACUUUUUUUCCCCACCCUCCCCAAUGAAAAGCUGCAUGGGGUUUCUGAGAGGUGGGCAGGGAGGAGAGGCUGCAAGAGUUUGGGGUUCCCAGCCCCACUUCAGCCUGUUUGGUGUGUGUCUGUGGCCAAAAGUGGUAUUUCACUUACAGAGCAAAUGAUACUUAAAUAACUUAUUAAAUAAAAGCUCCUGAAGAUUUGUGUUUCCUCCCCAGGCUGCCCAGCACAGCUGUUCUAAGUGGCCAAGGAUGAGAGACAGACCCUGAUCCAAGCUGGGCAGCUUCUGCAGCAGGAGCAUCUCUGCUCCUGGCAGUGCCAGAGCUUUGGGUUAGUGUUGUGUAGGUGUCUGGAGGGAAUGUGGGCUCCUUUGGAGCCCAUACAAAUGGGAGAAAGAGAGAAGUGCUCAGACUUGUUGAAGCCACUGGAGGCACUGAUGAAGUGCUGUUGCACUAUGGCCCCAGAAGGACCCCUCCUAACAAGCCCUGGACUUGUGCAGUGCAGUGGGGCUGUAACCUCCCUUCUGAGCCUGCAGGGUGAGGCUCACUGAACCUCAGCACAGAGGAACCAAACUGACAAUCUGCACUGAGCACUGCUGAGGACAAUGAGGCUCCUCCUCCCUCUGUGCAGUGCUCCCUUCGAACUUCCCUUCUGGCUGCCCCGUGGUGCCCAAACAGCAGGAGCCAGCCAGUGCCAGGCUGUGCAGCCACAGCCACACUCACUGCAAGGUGGGGCUGCAGGUGUCCCCUGGGCACUGUGGCACCAAGACCCAAACCCCAGCAGCAGCAGGACCUCCUGGCAUGGCUCGAUGGUGGGAGCAGGUGAACAUGUCAAGCAAAUUGAGGUGAUCACCCACCCUCUAAUUCUAAUGAAAACGAGGGGAGGAUGGGUUAUAUAAGGAGUUAACAGUAAGAGAAUGAGACAGGCUCUUCCAAAGGCUGAAACAGCUUCUGAAGCUGCAUCCUACUAAGAGUUACUGUCUGGCAGCCUCCUCUUCUGCCUCAGUGCUUGGGUCAGCAGGACAAGUGUCCCCUCUCUGUCAGUGCCACCCCAGCUGCUGCAGAGGCAGUGUGGAGGAGGGAGGAUACACUGGCAGAAAACGUGGCUGCCACUGUGCUAAAAUGAACACCCUGCUCCUCAACUUCAUGUCUCAGAAGCCCCAAAGCCAAGCCUGGAGCCCACACACAGGGGAGGGAUAACAGUGCCCAACCAGAGUGAGGAGGGACAGGGGACAAAGCCCUGCUGCCAUAGUGACACCAUAGUCCUGGCAGGGUAGAGUCACUACCCUGUGUCCUUCCAGACAUGAAGCUGGGCACUAAUGGCACUUGGAUGCAGUUCUUCUCACACUCCCACUAUCAACAGCCAUUGGAUUGGCAGGAUUGUUUUUAGCAGCAGUGGCAGGAGGAUGUUGGGUGAGAGGUGAGGGCAGCCCUGGAUCCAGCACAACCAGAAGCACCCAGAAAAGACUGCCCUGGGAUGCUGAUUUUCUGCUGUGCUAUCACUGGAGCAGUUCACAACUGGAGAACAAAUAAAAACCUGGAGGAAGGAAGCACUGACACGUGGGACUGGCAGGGAUCCUGGUAGGUGGGGCUUGGGGGAGAAUGAGGGCAUGACUCAUUUUUAAUUAUAUGAUACAAAUAAAAAAAUGGCUGAGGUCACUGAGCUGGACCAGACAAUUCCUAAUGGUUGAAAGAGAAAUGGGGUGCUCCUCCUCCUGCAGAGCCACCUUCUUCAUACUCUGAACCUCCAGCAUCAGUACCAACACAACACCAGAAAAAACAGUCUUGCUGACACAGAGGAUGAGGGAGCUCUGUUUACCAGGGCUGUCUCCCUGUGACCUGGCCCAGAGCAGCAUCCUACUAGCCUGAGCCUGGGGCUGCUUCAGUUUUCAGCUGGCAAAGGGGCUCUUUUGGGGCACAAAGGAGCAGUAAUGCUCACAUCAGCUAAUCUGGCAAGGGGGUGCUUCAAGCACAUUCCCACAAGGACCAGGGGAUCAGGUACCUGUAAAAUGUUUUUCAAGUAACAAAAGAGCCAGUAGGAAUCCUCAGGCUUAUUACUGUAACUGCAGAAAGCUGGUUUAAAUCCUCAGGGUGCUGAAAUAGAAGCAGAAAGGCAGUCAGAGCAGGGGAACUCUAAACAGCAGCCUCCUAGGGCAUCUUCCCAUAGGUCCUGGUGCAACAGACACUGCCUCUGCCACAGCCACACAAGGAGGGAAGAAGCAACAAGCCCCCUCAAAAUGAAGGAUGAAAGGAUCCCUAUUCAUGGCAUUAUGUCUGAGGGUUGGGAGGACCCCAGUAAAACCACUGGGUCUGCCUAGAGAAGGACAUGUCACCUGGUCAGCUCUCCUGUGUACAGGCAGAGGACAGAGCUGAACAGAGGGGAAUGACAUGCUCCUGCUCUGCUCUCAAACAUAUUUCAAAAUUUCAGUCCUGCCAGAUGUCUGAUGGGCAUCUCUGUCCAUGUCUGCUCCAAAAUCCACACACAGUUCAUUUACAGAAUUUUGCAGAAAGCUAAAAAUGGAUGGAAACAAAACCCCAAGGAAGCCAUGGGCAUUAAACAGCUGUUUUGCAACUGUCCUGCUCACACAGCUGCUUCAGAGCUGGGCUGGGCUGGCAGUGGCCACUGCAGCUGUGCAGGCAGGGGAGGAGGUGUGUGGGUGUGUGGCUGCCAUCCCUCUGCCACUCCCUUCACCUUGGCCACAAAACUCAGGCACUGUCAGCCGGGAGGAGAUGCCAGGGGUUUGUGUUCCCUUGUGGCCAGGCCCUCCACAAGCUCAGGGCAUGCAGAAGCACAGCUCAUGGCUGCGAGAGAAUUAGGGAGCAGGGGGAAGCUAUUCCAUGUAAUCUGCAAUAACAAGGUAACAUUCAUGCCCAGGCUCUGAACCUGAAAUGACCAGUGCUGUCUAGAGAGACCAAGAAAGGAUCUUGGCUUGUAUAUGUUCCAAAGAGAUACAGAACUCUGUUCAUACCCUAAAAUGAGAAUAUUCUUUGACACGUACUUCAUCCAUUUCCCCUUCAUAGAACAGGGGCUGUGCAUUGCUCUGUGCUCAGCAGAGCAUCUGCAGGGGCCAUUACUGCUGCAGCCAGCAUUUGCUGAUCAGCAUCCAGUGCACGUCUCACACUGCAGAACCCCCUCCUUUCCUUUCCUUCACCUUUGCUGACUGGAGCUGGUAGUUCAAUGCAGCUGUGCUAUAAGGAUUAAAUAAAGAAGGAGGCCAAGGACAGCAGAGUAACUCAAGAUUAUCUUCACAGUCAAAUGUUUCCCUUCCAGGGAAGCUGGGGAGGUCCCACAGCCUUGCUGAGGAUGUGCAGACUGUUUCUGUACCGUUCAGUGCUGCCAGGAUGCCUGAGAGUAUUGCUGGCCCCUGACAUAUGGCAGGGUACAGACAGACAGACAGACAGACAGACAGACAGAUGUGCUCACCAGGGGAAGGUAGGGAAAUCUGGAGGCAGGUUUGCACGGUUCAGCCAAUGUAAACACACCCCAGUGCAUGCUACAACGUGUAAAUACUAUUUGGCAAAGGAUUACUGGGUUUUACUCUUCUGCAGAUAAUAAAGGUUUAAUCCAAUCCAAUGUUUGCAGGCAGGACUGGAACAGGUAAGUGAGAUGCCUUAAGCUGCUUACUGGAGAUGUCCACAAAGACAAAGUAACAGACAGAGAUGAAAUCCUCAUCAGAAAAUGACUUCUUGUCCAUAACUGAAUGUUGCUGGGGACACUUUCUUUCAGGAAUUAGCAGCAAUGCUCAGCCUGAGGCCAAACAAACAAUUUCUCCCCUUUCAUUAACAGAAAAUACCAAUUACCAGUGCUGAUUGGAACACUUGUGCUCAGUGAACACUGACUGUGCCAACCAGGACCCAGCACCUCCUAUUCACGUUGCUGAUCUCUAUGUUAGGGAGUUUGGAUGAGCUGGUGCUCCUGAACAGUUGUGGGGGUUUAUGGGUGGGGAAAAUCACAAGGAUGGGAGUAACCCCUCUGGCCAUAGUACCUGAUACCACCAUUCCAUCCAAACACAUGGUGAUCCUUGGGAGCCUUCCCCAAUGGACAGCUGAGCAUCAGAAGGUAUUUUAAGUACUGGGGGUUUGGAGGGGUCAUGCUACCCCCCCUUGCUGGGAUGGUGUGCCUGGGACAAAUGCAUCCUCUGGGACACUGGCUGAGCAGGGAGGCUGGCCAGGGUGGGGUGAUCUGCCUCAUACAAAAAGAAGGAAAGUGCUUUGGUGUUCACAACAAGAAGCACAAUAUGAGUGCACAACUUCAAUAUAUGUGCACAACUAAAAAUGAGUAUAUUAAUUCUUUUGCAUCACUCAGCACUCCACCUAUCCCUGUUUUUCCCCUACUUUUCCCACACUGUCACUAAGAAGGAUCUCUGCAGACCCUGCCCUGCCACAAUAUGGAUCUGUGGGACAAUGCCAGGUCAGCCCUAGAGGGGCCAGGGCUGACCCCAUGGCUGCUACAGGCCAGCAGGGCCCUUCUGCAGCCAGGCAGUCACUGCAACAUCAGCUCACACCAGGGAUGGGGCCCCUCUGUAAGAAAAAGAUCUGUAUAGCAAAGCCUUGUAUAGCAAAGCUGAGAAAAGAUGGAAAACUGUUUCUCAGAGCCAGGCUCUGAUCAAGCACAUGCAAUUCAGCCUUUACUGUCCCAGACAGCUUCCCAACCUCCACAGGAUGUCAGAGUCACACCACUAAACCCUCAUCUCACAGACACACUGGGAAACUUGUGGGGCAGCUGGUGGGGGAAUGUGUCAGGAGCUCAUGCCUGAAGGCAGCAAAUCCUGCAAAUGCAAUGCAAUGGCAGAGCUCUGAGCAGAGCUGCUCCCUUCUUGCCUCUCUCAGGGGUCUACACACUCCUGAAAGCAUCCAGAGCACCAGGGAAACAACUGGGUGUUCAAGGAGCUACACUGGAGCCUGAGCAGCCUCCUCUGCCACAAACUCCCUUAUGCUGCACUGCCUUAUUUCCUUCCAGUGCCAGCAGGACAAAACAUGAUCCUUCAGAAAAAUAAAACCAGAUACACUUCUGCUGAAUGCUUUGAUUAGCUACAGCCAUCAGGACCUCCCAGCAAAACCCAGAAGUCCCCACACCCAACUCUGCAUGGCACCUCUUAAAAAGUAAAUCCCUGCUCAGUGCCAUGUGCUACCCCAAAGCAGGACCUGACACCAACAAGGUUUUCAUGAGAGAGGAGGAUUGAUUUGUCUCUGACCAGCAGCCUGUCCCUGGGAAUGGUAACAGAGAACUUGGAGUUUACAACACAUUUUGAAGCAGCAGUAUGAUGAGUAUGCUUUUUAAAUGCCAUUGUCAUUAAGUGAGUCUUAAUACUUAUGUCACCCAGUGCAGGUGCCCCCAUCUCUGUACUGCAGCAAAACCAAACAUUUCCAUUAAGGCCUCCCCAUGAGAGAGGCUGGGACAUGUCAUCUAAA